Molecule: long non-coding RNA, 519 nt
Organism: Ictalurus punctatus (channel catfish)
Lineage: Eukaryota; Metazoa; Chordata; Actinopteri; Siluriformes; Ictaluridae
Source: Ensembl
GCCACCCCUGGCACUGUGCAGCUAUCUGUUACAAAUGAAUGGGAAAAUUCAAGGAUGUUGUAAUUGGUAAGUUGUGAUGUCAAAAGUAUCUGUACCAAGUUGAUACUAAAAUUUUAAAAAGAAUGAUACGAUCAGUUUUUUUUUUCAGUACCGGCUGUACCAAGUAUUCUCCUGCUUUCUGAUUGACUUUCUUUUCCAUGCUGAGGGAGGUGUUGACUAAAUUAGAGAUGGUGCUGGACCAACAAACCACUGAGCUUGCUUCAACUACAGGUGUUCCAGGUGCAGUCUUUGGAUACUGAUGAAGAUUUACUGCCCUGCAAGAUCUUCCUCAACUGCAUAGUCUGGAGCGAAGGAUGCAACAGAGCCCAGAUUACAAGCAAAAACUGGUGACACACUCGUACUCAAAGCACAACAUUCAACACCACUUUGAUAUGAGGGAACAGUUAUGACCUAAUCUUUGGUAGAGGAGCAAAACAUGGAAAACACACAGGGCAGGGUACCUGCAGGAGUAGUGAGAAG